This 792-nucleotide ribosomal RNA is filed under the name uncultured bacterium. RNAcentral's name for it is "bacterial SSU rRNA". It matches the Rfam family "Bacterial small subunit ribosomal RNA", at positions 56 to 855 of the family's 1533-position model. The record is from RNAcentral.
UGCAGUCGAGGGGUAUAGGUUUUCGGACCUAGAGACCGGCGCACGGGUGCGUAACGCGUAUGCAAUCUACCUUUUACAGAGGGAUAGCCCAGAGAAAUUUGGAUUAAUACCUCAUAGUAUUAUUGAAUGGCAUCAUUUAAUAAUUAAAGUCACAACGGUAAAAGAUGAGCAUGCGUCCCAUUAGCUAGUUGGUAAGGUAACGGCUUACCAAGGCAACGAUGGGUAGGGGUCCUGAGAGGGAGAUCCCCCACACUGGUACUGAGACACGGACCAGACUCCUACGGGAGGCAGCAGUGAGGAAUAUUGGUCAAUGGGCGCAAGCCUGAACCAGCCAUGCCGCGUGCAGGAUGACGGUCCUAUGGAUUGUAAACUGCUUUUGUACAGGAAGAAACAGUUCUACGUGUAGAACCUUGACGGUACUGUAAGAAUAAGGAUCGGCUAACUCCGUGCCAGCAGCCGCGGUAAUACGGAGGAUCCAAGCGUUAUCCGGAAUCAUUGGGUUUAAAGGGUCCGUAGGCGGUUUUGUAAGUCAGUGGUGAAAGCCCAUCGCUCAACGGUGGAACGGCCAUUGAUACUGCAAGACUUGAAUUAUUGGGAAGCAACUAGAAUAUGUAGUGUAGCGGUGAAAUGCUUAGAGAUUACAUGGAAUACCAAUUGCGAAGGCAGGUUGCUACCAAUACAUUGACGCUGAUGGACGAAAGCGUGGGGAGCGAACAGGAUUAGAUACCCUGGUAGUCCACGCCGUAAACGAUGGAUACUAGCUGUUCGGACCAUUCUGAGUGGCUAAACGAA